Molecule: long non-coding RNA, 5147 nt
Filed under: Gallus gallus (chicken)
Lineage: Eukaryota; Metazoa; Chordata; Aves; Galliformes; Phasianidae
Description: lncRNA (ENSGALG00010026892.1)
Source: RNAcentral
GGGAGCUGUUGCCCAGGAAACAGUAUGAUGUCAUUGCACUAGAGACAGUUGCUAUGGUUACUGAGUUGGCUGAGGUAACUGGGAAUAAAGGAGUUGUUAUCAGACCAGAGCCAGGAAAUGUUCCCUUUAAUGGGAAUAAUAAAAAAAAAGACACUUUUAAUGUAUUUAUGUUUCAGGGCGGUUUGCCUGUGAUUCAAAGUCCCCAGUUAUUUUUCUGAUGCAGUGUGCUCAAUUUGGGCUUCUUUCAGUUGGGCUGAGUGAUCUUGCUCAUCUGUUUCUACUCUUGAAUGUUAUUGUGGACAUCACACCACAGUAAAAUGGAAAAAAGAACUGUGUUGUCCCGUGCUUCUGUGUAAUAUGUGUUCCCACCUGUUGUUGCUGUUUGCUUUUUCCUGUUUGGUUUCUGUGUUUUCUGUGAUGAAUAGUCCAGCCCAGUUAUUAUCCCAGCUGAUGUCAGAGAUACGCUAACAGUGAAUAUUACAUGUCUGAGCUUGCUUCAUCUGCCCCAGGCUCUGUCUGUAAAAGGCAAGCUAUAAUUUGUUUUCCACUUCUUUUCUGCCUUCUACCUGCUUUUUGUUUUUCAUUGUAGUCAUUGCAGGAGUUCCAGGAAAAGUCCAAUGCGAAAAGUGAAGCAGAGAUUCAAUAAAAAGUAGGAGGCAGCUAUUAGAGAUGAAGAAAUACAUGCAAGAUUGCACUUCACUGAGAGCAAUGUGGAAAUGUGUGUAGCUGAUCGUGUUUCAUGUGAGGAUGCAGGAACGUGAAUAGUGGUAGGUCAGCAGGAAACAGCAAUUGUAAGAGAUGGCAACAAGAUAAAACAGCUAAUGGAGGUGAAAAGUGGCAGUCAGUCAGCACUGAGAGGCUCAUAACGGUCAGGUGAGAGACAUGGGGCAUCACUAAGCCUGUCUUUCAGACGUGUGUAAAUGCUUAAUUUCUAACCUGAUAAAUGUUUAGCUAAUCAACAUGCAAUGGUGCUAUUUGCAAAUCUUUUGAGCUAGGGGACUUGCAUCACUGUGAAAUGUGGGCCAAUAAUCAUAGAACUUCCUGGACUCACAAUUUUAUGGUUGCUAGAAUGUAAUACUGUUGAAUCUGAUAUUGGAGUGAUAUAUGAUUCCUGCCAUGAAUGGCCACUGAAGUUACUUUUCUUGUUAAAUAGGGUUCAGAAUGACCCCUUGAAUUUGUGUUUGUUUUUGUUCACUACCAUACAACAUGGGUUUAUUAUAUUUAAAUACAUUUUAAAUGUAUACGUUUAAAUCACCCUCUAUGGUAAAGUAUGAGAAAGAAAACAAGAAGAUGGAGUGUAUUUAACGGUCAGGAAGGUCAGUAAUUGUAUUCAGUGAUAUAGCAAUACUAGAGAUUGUAUAUUGAUAAAGAAUUACAGGUUUGUUUUCUACUACUGUCUACUGCUUGGGAUAUCUGUAUGUGAAAAUCUGUGCGUAGAAGGAGGAGGCACCAUCCACUGUUAGACUAUGGACAGUCCUACAAGCAGGGUGAUCUCAGCUUUUGCUGAGCAAUGCUUCCAUCUACUGGAGAACUCUCUUCUCACAGUAUUUACUCUAUUCUGAGACCCAAAGUCUUGAUAGUUAAAACCCCCAUAUAUUUAUUGUUUAUGAAUUAUUCUGAGAACAAAGAUAGUCCCUCUAUUCUGUCAAGUAGCUAACACAAAGUGCUUUUACUUCUUUACAUUUGAAGGAUGUAUAGUUAUCCACUUAUCUUGAGUCAGUACUCUGUGUUGUGUUUUGUUGGUUUUUUUUUUUCCUGAAAUGCAGUUCUUAAGAUGGUAGUAAUAUAAAUUGAAGUACAAAAUGUAGAAUUAUCUUGCUAGAGAGUGACUGUGUGAUUUGUGGCAUUAAAUAAUGAUUUCAGGAAGAGACUUCAGAGGCUGUAGGAUUACCCUCAUACUCUUUAUGAGCAAACAGGAUUGAGGUAGAUAUCCAUUGAGACAGAACAUAUAUUAGUGUUGGAGUUAGAGAAUUAGACUCAGUAGAAUUUGCACUGCUGCUGUGCAUCAGAGUUUGCCUGUGCUUUGCCAGGAUCACUGUAGGAGGCACUCAACACUACUGUAAUCAGUACUGAUCUGCCAUUUAGGGAAGUGAAAGUUUUUUUUUUUCUUGUGGCUGAGAAGAAACGCUAGGAAUAGUGGCUUCCAGUUUUCUUAUUAGAAUCUCCCUGAUUCCUUAAGCAUGUUAAAGUGUCCGAUUAGAAAAAUUAGGAACAAACUUGUAAAAUGCACAAAGACUGAAUAGUAACAAUAUCAAAGUACCUUUGGACUUGAUACAAGUCACAGAAUGGCUUGGGUUGGAAGGGACCUCAAAGCCUACCCAGUUGCAAGCCGUGCCAUGGGCAGGGACACCUCCCACCAGAGCAGGCUGCCCACAGCCCAUCCAGCCCAGUCUUGGGCCCUGCCAGGGAUGGGGCAGCCUCUGAGUAGAGUUUCUUCCUAAUGGCUAAUAUAAACUUACUCUCUUUUAGUUUAAAACCAAUACAGCUUAUCCUGUCGCUACAUGAAACAAAUAUAACAAAUAAAAGUGAUAUCCUUAUAUGGAAUUAUAUAUACAAUUAAAAAGUUUAUAUAUAGAUCUGUGUACUAUCAAAGUUUUAUAGGUAUGCAUAUACAACUACAUAAAUGUGUGUGUAUACAACAUGAUCACAAAUGAAUAUAACACAGUAAGUAAAUAAACAGUACUUAGCUCAUUGCUUCUAUGAAAAGAACACAAUGUCACUGCACCUUGUCCCUGCCUACAUGCAAUCUAUGUGGUUCUGUGCCCUUUGGGAUCAUUAAUACUCUGUGAUAAGUAUCUUCAUUUGUUCACGUGAAAUCUUGAUGAACUUCUAUAAUGGCCUUCACUAAAUAACUUUGUAGAAUGCAUCAGCUUUCACAUUUUGUAUUACCUUUAAGCUACUUGAAAUACCUAUGCUUUAUGAGGUCCUUUGUUUUUCAAGUGUUUAACUGGAUUAUACAGUAGCCAUUCCAGGUACUCCUUGGUUUAUGGCAGAGAGCUCGAAAGAUGCGGCAAAGCACAGGAAUGGAUUUUAGAGGUUUAAGUAUGUUUUAUAUUCUAUUAAGGUUUUUAAAUGACUGAAAUGGUAGGAAGCAUAGGCUUCAGAUUUGCAUUGGUUGUUCUUCCACUGUUAAGAACAAAUAGUUCAGGGUACUUUCCAUUCGUAAUAUCAUGUUUUAUUUGUAAGCUGGUGCUUGUGUGGGGAUGUUUCUGUGCUGUGGGGGAAGUAAGCGGCUCAGUAUUUCUUAAUAGUGUGUAUACUGCCUUGAGUGUUCAGAAAUUAGUGUGUAAAUGCUAGGAACACUACAGCCUAUGUCCAAAAAUGAUGAUUUUUGUGGAUAAACAAUUAUUGUUAACCGUUGCAGCCAUCAGAAGCUGCAUAGAAAUAACUGAGCUGAAUAUGCAGUUAUAGAAAUUAUGUGAAGCCCCAAUGCAGAAACUUAGAUAUUUGUAGUUUUCCCUCUGUUAUUACUUCAUUUACAGCAGCAGCACUAUCAUUUUAGUUAUUUAAUAAGGAUUUACUUGGAGGUCAAAAAAAAAAACAACAAAACACCCCACAUUCUGCUGCUGAUGCACACGCUUUUGUCCAGGAGUGUUUUGGCUGCCAAUAUCAUGGUUUGCCUGCUAUCUAACGCCUUGGCAGAUUGUGACUCACACAGGCUGGUGCAUUGUGAGCUGAGCUUUUAUUUCUUGUUACUACUUUCAAACUCAGAUGGAGCUGCUUACUGUUGGUGUCAAUGGGUACACAUGCUCUUGCUGCCUCAAAUAGUUUUCUCAGAAAGUAAGAAUUCAGUACGCAGUCAAUAUUCAUUAGGAAUCUACUCAGAGUGGCCAUGGUUGCCGUUUAUGUGAUGUGGCUGUAAUUAUAGACAGUGGUGUAUCCUGGGAAAACGUUCUCUUGUGUGUUCUUCAUCUCCUAGGACUGCACACGUAGGGAGACUGUGAGGUUGACUUGAUGAAUGUGAUUGAAAUAAUAAAUCAGCAUCGUUUUUUUUAUUAGAAUCUGCUCUUUAGUCCAUUAAGAACAUGAAUACAUUCUUGUUGCACUACUGUUGUCUGUGCCAAAUUCACAAAAAUUCAGAAGAAUUUUUUUUGUUUGGCAAGGUGACAGGCAGAAAAUGUUUGAAGGUAUUCCCCUUAAGAAUAGAUUUAUACAAUGUUAAGCACAGUAUGAUGCUCCUCAAGUAUGAAGAUAAUAUUGGUUAUUUCAAAGGAAUAAAAAUGUCUCUGUAUGCAGAGGAAGAAGAGAGAGUAAAUCUUGAUCUGAGCAAUUGAGUCACAUGGAUAUCAAUUUACUUUUCAGUUCCUGGGAAAUGAGCAUUGCAGCUGAUUAUUUAUGGCUGCUGUGUUCUGUAAAACUUUGCGACUGACACACCAUUUUACAAGCUUUAUAGAGGCUGCUACCUUCUAUGCUUUUGUGAUACUGUGUUGUAUGAUGUCAACAUUAGUUUUGAGUAUCAUUCUAUUCUAAAUCUUAGGAAGUAGCAGCAGAAUUGAAUUCAUUGUAAUGCUCUUGAUGUUCAGUUAUGCUCAGCUUGGCAUGAUAGCUGUUAUGAAGUCCUAAUUACAGUGAUCGAUCCUGAUGUGAUCUGACUGAACAAAUGAAAGAAAUUAAGCAGAGAUGUCCAUUUGCACAAGCUUGUGUGAUUUAGCACUUUUGCUCUCUUUUUCCCUAUGCUACCUGUAGUGGUUGAGUACACAUCUUAACUACUCAUUUUUAUUCUGUUCUAUAGGGUUUCUAGAGAGAUCUUUCACACUAAUUGUUCCAUUGUACAUUUUGGUGCUAUGUCCACUUUCCUUUCUUCUCUCUAUUUAUUAGAUCUUGUUUUCUUGUGUUUGUUAAUACUUUCACUGUAUUUCUUGUGUUCAAAAGGAACGAUGAAGAACUCUUUCUGUGUUUGGAAUCAUUUCUUUCUGAAGGGUUUUUUUGCUUUAGCUAAAUAAGCCAAAUAGACAAACAAUUGAAUUUUGAAUUCAAAUUGAAUUCAAUAUGAAUUUCAAUUGAAAUUGAAACAAUGGGAAGAGGAGGGGGGGGCUCUUUCUGGAACAUACUGACUGAACCCUCAGUUAAAAAAACAACAACAACAACAACAAAAACAAAUAUAUAUACAUAUAUGAAGGCGUAAGGAAGUAAGGACGUGUCUGUGG